Molecule: non-coding RNA, 263 nt
Organism: Otolemur garnettii (small-eared galago)
Lineage: Eukaryota; Metazoa; Chordata; Mammalia; Primates; Galagidae
Source: Rfam
GCCAGGCGUUGUGGCGGGUGCCUGUAGUCCCAGCUACUUGGGAGGCUGAGGCAGGAGACUCGCUUGAGCCCAGGAGUUGGAGGUUGUUGUGAGCUGUGAUGCCAUGGCACUCUAUCCAGGGGGAAAGCUUGAGGCUCCGUCUCAAAAAAAAAAAAAGAGAGAGACAGGGUCUCACUUUAUUGCCCUCCAUAGAGUGCCGUGGCAGCAUCACACAGCUCACAGCAACCUCCAGCUCCUGGGCUCAGGUGAUUCUCUUGCCUCAG